GUGCCAGCAGCCGCGGUAAUACGUAGGCAGCAAACGUUGUUCGGAAUUACUGGGCGUAAAGAGUGUGUAGGCGGUUUCGUAAGUUUGGUGUGAAAUCUCCCGGCUUAACUGGGAGGGUGCGCCGAAAACUGCGAGGCUUGAGUACUGGAGAGGAGAGCGGAAUUCCUGGUGUAGCGGUGAAAUGCGUAGAUAUCAGGAGGAACACCGGUGGUGUAGACGGCUCUCUGGACAGUCACUGACGCUGAGACACGAAAGCGUGGGGAGCAAACAGGAUUAGAAACCCGCGUAGUCC
This 292-nucleotide ribosomal RNA is filed under the name uncultured bacterium. Its description in RNAcentral is "partial 16S ribosomal RNA". It matches the Rfam family "Bacterial small subunit ribosomal RNA", at positions 505 to 796 of the family's 1533-position model. The record is from RNAcentral.